This 2690-nucleotide long non-coding RNA is filed under the name Olea europaea (common olive). Its description in RNAcentral is "long non-coding RNA (OEUR_LNC002062)". Lineage: Eukaryota; Viridiplantae; Streptophyta; Magnoliopsida; Lamiales; Oleaceae. The record is from RNAcentral.
UGAAAUAUCUUAUCCUAAAGAGGUUAGAGCAGAAUACUUCUUCAGCGCUCCAAGGGAUUUUGCUCAGGCCAAAGAUGGAGUUCUGCAUUUCAGCAAUAGCACCAGCUCUGCCCCGAUUCAACCUCUCUGUAGUCUCUUCUUCCCCUUCUUCUCCUUCACUUUUCAAGAAUGAUUUUCUUCAAUCCGAUAGCAGACUAUUGUUCAAUCCUCUCAAGAAAUUGCCAGUUCCAUCUUCCCGCCAAUUGUCUUUCCUACAAAACCCGCCCCACAAAUUAAGUUCGACUUGGUUUAUGGUAUCAGCAGCGCCCUCCGCUGUCGAUAGCACUGUAACUGACAAACUCCCGGCUGAUAUUCAAGUCACUGAAACCCCAGAACCCAAUUCUAGAGUGAGUUUUCUGUUUUUCGUAUUUUUCUUGCAUACUCUCCCUCUUAUUGUUGUAAUGAAUUGUUCAAUUUAAGAGUUUUUCAGUAUCAAAAUGAUUAUGAAAUUAAUAAAAAUAGUCUGCGCGUUAGCAAUGUUGGCUGAAUAAUAGGAAAGAGUGAAUAUUUCUUGAAUUUCAUAGAGUUUAUCUUCCAAGUCUUUGAAUUCUGGUCUGCUAAGUGAAUAUCUCUUUCGAAAUUCCGAUUCUUUUGUUUAAUUUAAUGUCCAACAUCAAAGUCCAUAUUUUUCAUGCCAAGAUCACAUUUCGUUGGGACUGUCAUCAAUUAAGAUAAACAACCUUGAAAUUUUCAAUUUUAUUGCUCGUACUGUUUUUCUUCAAAAUUCGAGUUAUAAGCGUCGAAUUUCCUGUCUGAAGGUAAGGUUGAGCGUUGAAGUUCCUGCUGAAGUAUGCGACGAUUGUUACCGAAGAGUCAUCAAAGAGUUUAUGAAGCGCGCAAAGGUGCUCAGUAUCUAGCCUUUAAUACUUUUUCAACUGUCUAUAAAUUAUCAGAAUCAAUGAUCCAAUUGUGCACACUUUAAUUUUGGAAAUUAUCUUGUAUCAUUGCAUUGAAACAAGUCCUUUUGGGAAUUUUGGUACCACUUUUGUGUGAAACAAGUGAGUCUCAAGAAAUUUAGGAUCUCAUUAUGAUAGAUGUAGUCUUAGUCUCGUUUUUCCUGAGUUCAGAAUUAUUAUGUUCAAGUGCUGGUGAUGGAAGAUGACUCUUGUGCGGCUAGAUUUUUAUGAAUUUUCAUUUUUUCAAAUGCUGAUUUUUCCUCUUAAUUUUUCAUCUGUUUUCAUGCUGCUGAAGAAAUGAUUCAAGUAAUAGCAAGUAAUGAAACACAUUCCUGUACUUGUAUCAUGGGAUAUAAAUUUACUGUUACAUUGCUUGUUGUCUCUAUUAGGUCCCUGGGUUUCGUGCAGGGAAGAAUGUUCCAGAAAGCAUUCUCAUAGGUUACGUUGGGAAGGAAACCGUUCAGAAGGCGACAAUUGAAUCUAUUCUGAAGAGAACUCUUCCACAUGCCAUGUCUUCGGUGUGUUUCUUGCCCAGUAAUCUAUUUGUCAUAUUGAAUGUUUGUAGUUACCCUAAGCUCCUUGUAUUAUGAAAUUGGUCUAAUGCAUAUGGAAAUUAUUUAUUUACUUAAACUAAGAAGAGCUUUUACGAUGCUUUGAGUGAAAAAGAGAACUAAAUACAUAAGAUGUUGGCUUUAUUUUUUAUAAUAUAAAUCAUUGUAAUCUUUCUACUGAAAAGAUAUUUGUUUUCUCACCUUUUAGUAACAUAUUACAAUAAGGAUUUUAUCACUCUUGCUGAAGCCAAUUACCUUCAAUUGGUGCUACUUCAUAGGUGAGUAAAAGAGCCUUAGAAGACUCAGUCCGCAUUUCAACGAAGUUUCCAGAGAUGGAAAAGACUUAUUCUUCUAUGAAAUCUCUGAGGUUUGUGAUCAUUUUUAAGGUUACGAAACCCUUUAUUGUCAAUAAGUUUCAUGGUACUGUAAUAAAUUUGCGGGUAAAUGCUUAUAUGUAUUUCACAGGCACUUCAACUAGGGUAGUGUCUGUGUCCGACACAUGUCGAUAUCGAUACUCCUUAAACACUCCACUGUAAACAUUUUUCUUUUUUUAUUAAAAAUUAUUAUAUAUUUUUAACUCAAAAUUAUUAGCAAAUAAUAAAUAGGUACUCAUAUUUCAAAGAUUUAAGAGAUGUAAAACUAAAUUUAUACUAUAUAAAUUAAGAAUUUUAAAGAAUUUAAUCAACUUAUAAUUGUUAAAAGUCUGUGAUGUAGACUUUUUGAAAAUAAAUUUUAUAAAGAAUAAUUUUUUGAAGAAUAUAUGAUUAAAAAGUAUAAAAAAAAUUAUAAGUUUUGGUAUAAAAUUAUUUAUCCGGAGAAUAUAUAAUUAACAAUAAAUUAAGAAAUAAUAAAAUUUAAAGAAUUUGUAUUGUACCAAAACCUGGCUUAACGGUAAGUUGAAAAUAUUCCUAUGAAAAACGAGCAUUUACCCAGUGAAAUAUCUUAUCCUAAAGAGGUUAGAGCAGAAUACUUCUUCAGCGCUCCAAGGGAUUUUGCUCAGGCCAAAGAUGGAGUUCUGCAUUUCAGCAAUAGCACCAGCUCUGCCCCGAUUCAACCUCUCUGUAGUCUCUUCUUCCCCUUCUUCUCCUUCACUUUUCAAGAAUGAUUUUCUUCAAUCCGAUAGCAGACUAUUGUUCAAUCCUCUCAAGAAAUUGCCAGUUCCAUCUUCCCGCCAAUUGUCUUUCCUACAAAACCCGCCCCACAA